Xenia sp. Carnegie-2017 is the source of this 706-nucleotide long non-coding RNA. RefSeq lists it as uncharacterized. The record is from RefSeq and is a predicted model, not a curated record. The transcript has 3 exons. Lineage: Eukaryota; Metazoa; Cnidaria; Anthozoa; Malacalcyonacea; Xeniidae.
AAACACGUGUAACACGACAAAUUCAUGUUAAACGGGAGACCCAUUUAGACUGCGCAUAAGAAUGUAAACGUUCGGAAUGCGAUGAAAAACGAUAGUAUGGAGAAUGUAACGAUUCUUCAUUCAUUUCUGAUCAAGCAAUAUGCUGAUACUUGCUCAGAAAGCCAAGGUUUAUAUCAUGGCUUCUCGAAGGCAACGAGAAUAAACGGAUCAUGUCAGCCGAAAUAUGACAGCUAAAAGUGAUAUACUUGCCUGUUUUUGUUAUAAUUCACGGUUUUGAGAUCUGAUCUUACAUGAAACUGUGUAUACCGACCUAUUUCAUUGUUCCUGGUAUACUACCAAUCAACUUAUGUGAAUGUAUGAGAUCAAUUUCAUUGCUGAGGAAUCUUAAAACACCAAAAGAACAACACUAUUGUAGAAGAAGGUUUAAGUGGCUUAGCUUUUUUGUGAAUUCAUUCAGAAAUUAUUCCUGACAUAGAACGAGUUAUUGAUGAGUUUGCUGAAGGUAAUAUCUGUUUAAAAUUUGCUUUAUGUUUUAUUGAUACGUUACUUUAAAAAUAUCAGACAACGCAACUGGCUACUGUAAUGCUUUAUUGUUUAAAAAAUGUCAGACAGUGCUUAAUAACAUUAAAUAACAUUAUUGCUUUACACUACAAACACUGAAGAGCCCUGACAUUUGCGAGUUUGGAAAAAAACUAAAAAACAACAA